This 530-nucleotide ribosomal RNA is filed under the name Trichonephila clavipes. RNAcentral's name for it is "bacterial SSU rRNA". It matches the Rfam family "Eukaryotic small subunit ribosomal RNA", at positions 537 to 1067 of the family's 1831-position model. The record is from RNAcentral. Lineage: Eukaryota; Metazoa; Arthropoda; Arachnida; Araneae; Nephilidae.
GCGAGGACCCACCGGAGGGCAAGACUAAUGCCAGCCGCUGCGGUAAUUUUAGCUCCGGUAGCGUAUACUAAAUUUGUUGCAGUUAAAAAGCUCGUAGUUGGAUUCCUGCUCUGGACGUAGGGGGCCGCUAACGCGGUCCGCCAUGCGCACCCGGCAUUCUGCUCGCCGCUCCCGAGAUCGUUGUCAAAGGCGGCUCGGGGUGGUUGGCGGAGAUCGCUUUGCAAAAAUUAGAGUGCUCUAGGCGGGCCACUAAGCUCGAAUAGUAAUGCACGGUACGAUGAAACAUGACUUUGGCUCUUAUUCGGUUGGGGCACGGAGACCGAGGUAAUGAUUAAUAGGAGCAGACGGGGGCAUUCGUAUUCCGACGCUAGAGGUGAAAUUCUUGGACCGUCGGAAGACGCACCACUGCGAAAGCAUUUGCCAAGAAUGUUUCCGUUGACCAAGAACGAAAGUGUGGGGCUCAAAGAAGAUUAGAUACCUUUGUAGUCUUGACCCUAAACGAUACCCUCCAGCGAUCCGGCUGCGUACGA